RNAcentral lists this ribosomal RNA (567 nucleotides) under uncultured bacterium. RNAcentral's name for it is "bacterial SSU rRNA". It matches the Rfam family "Bacterial small subunit ribosomal RNA", at positions 335 to 919 of the family's 1533-position model. The record is from RNAcentral.
AUUCCUACGGGAGGCAGCAGUGGGGGAUAUUGCACAAUGGAGGAAACUCUGAUGCAGCAACGCCGCGUGAGGGAAGACGGUUUUCGGAUUGUAAACCUCUGUCCUUGGUGAAGAUAAUGACGGUAGCCAAGGAGGAAGCUCCGGCUAACUACGUGCCAGCAGCCGCGGUAAUACGUAGGGAGCAAGCGUUGUCCGGAUUUACUGGGUGUAAAGGGUGCGUAGGCGGCACUGCAAGUCAGGCGUGAAAGCCGGAGGCUUAACCUCCGAACUGCGUUUGAAACUGUGGUGCUUGAGUGAAGUAGAGGUAGGCGGAAUUCCCGGUGUAGCGGUGAAAUGCGUAGAGAUCGGGAGGAACACCAGUGGCGAAGGCGGCCUACUGGGCUUUAACUGACGCUGAGGCACGAAAGCAUGGGUAGCAAACAGGAUUAGAUACCCUGGUAGUCCAUGCCGUAAACGAUGAUUACUAGGUGUGGGGGGUCUGACCCCUUCCGUGCCGGAGUUAACACAAUAAGUAAUCCACCUGGGGAGUACGGCCGCAAGGUUGAAACUCAAAGGAAUUGACGGAAU